GAUGAACGCUGCCGGCGUGCCUAAUACAUGCAAGUCGAGCGAACAGAUGAGGAGCUUGCUCCUCUGACGUUAGCGGCGGACGGGUGAGUAACACGUGGAUAACCUACCUAUAAGACUGGGAUAACUUCGGGAAACCGGAGCUAAUACCGGAUAAUAUAUUGAACCGCAUGGUUCAAUAGUGAAAGACGGUUUUGCUGUCACUUAUAGAUGGAUCCGCGCCGCAUUAGCUAGUUGGUAAGGUAACGGCUUACCAAGGCAACGAUGCGUAGCCGACCUGAGAGGGUGAUCGGCCACACUGGAACUGAGACACGGUCCAGACUCCUACGGGAGGCAGCAGUAGGGAAUCUUCCGCAAUGGGCGAAAGCCUGACGGAGCAACGCCGCGUGAGUGAUGAAGGUCUUCGGAUCGUAAAACUCUGUUAUUAGGGAAGAACAAAUGUGUAAGUAACUAUGCACGUCUUGACGGUACCUAAUCAGAAAGCCACGGCUAACUACGUG
RNAcentral lists this ribosomal RNA (497 nucleotides) under uncultured bacterium. RNAcentral's name for it is "partial 16S ribosomal RNA". It matches the Rfam family "Bacterial small subunit ribosomal RNA", at positions 28 to 507 of the family's 1533-position model. The record is from RNAcentral.